GACGAACGCUGGCGGCGUGCUUAACACAUGCAAGUCGAACGGAAAGGCCCUGCUUUUGUGGGGUGCUCGAGUGGCGAACGGGUGAGUAACACGUGAGUAACCUGCCCUUGACUUUGGGAUAACUUCAGGAAACUGGGGCUAAUACCGGAUAGGAGCUCCUGCUGCAUGGUGGGGGUUGGAAAGUUUCGGCGGUUGGGGAUGGACUCGCGGCUUAUCAGCUUGUUGGUGGGGUAGUGGCUUACCAAGGCUUUGACGGGUAGCCGGCCUGAGAGGGUGACCGGCCACAUUGGGACUGAGAUACGGCCCAGACUCCUACGGGAGGCAGCAGUGGGUAAUAUUGCACAAUGGGCGGCAGCCUGAUGCAGCAACGCCGCGUGCGGGAUGACGGCCUUCGGGUUGUAAACCGCUUUCGCCUGUGACGAAGCGUGAGUGACGGUAAUGGGUAAAGAAGCACCGGCUAACUACGUG
This 468-nucleotide ribosomal RNA is filed under the name uncultured bacterium. Its description in RNAcentral is "partial 16S ribosomal RNA". It matches the Rfam family "Bacterial small subunit ribosomal RNA", at positions 28 to 507 of the family's 1533-position model. The record is from RNAcentral.